CCUACGGGAGGCAGCAGUGGGGAAUAUUGGACAAUGGGCGAAAGCCUGAUCCAGCAAUGCCGCGUGAGUGAUGAAGGCCUUAGGGUUGUAAAGCUCUUUUACCAGGGAUGAUAACGACAGUACCUGGAGAAUAAGCUCCGGCUAACUCCGUGCCAGCAGCCGCGGUAAUACGGAGGGAGCUAGCGUUGUUCGGAAUUACUGGGCGUAAAGCGUACGUAGGCGGUUAUUCAAGUCAGAGGUGAAAGCCUGGAGCUCAACUCCAGAACUGCCUUUGAAACUAGAUAGCUAGAAUCUUGGAGAGGUGAGUGGAAUUCCGAGUGUAGAGGUGAAAUUCGUAGAUAUUCGGAAGAACACCAGUGGCGAAGGCGACUCGCUGGACAAGUAUUGACGCUGAGGUACGAAAGCGUGGGGAGCAAACAGGAUUAGAUACCCUGGUAGUCCACGCCGUAAACGAUGAUAACUAGCUGUUCGGGCUCUACGAGCUUGAGUGGCGCAGCUAACGCAUUAAGUUAUCCGCCUGGGGAGUACGGUCGCAAGAUUAAAACUCAAAGGAAUUGACGG
This 561-nucleotide ribosomal RNA is filed under the name uncultured bacterium. Its description in RNAcentral is "bacterial SSU rRNA". It matches the Rfam family "Bacterial small subunit ribosomal RNA", at positions 338 to 916 of the family's 1533-position model. The record is from RNAcentral.